RNAcentral lists this ribosomal RNA (497 nucleotides) under uncultured bacterium. RNAcentral's name for it is "partial 16S ribosomal RNA". It matches the Rfam family "Bacterial small subunit ribosomal RNA", at positions 28 to 507 of the family's 1533-position model. The record is from RNAcentral.
GAUGAACGCUGGCGGCGUGCCUAAUACAUGCAAGUCGAGCGAACGGACGAGAAGCUUGCUUCUCUGAUGUUAUCGGCGGACGGGAGAGUAACACGUGGAUAACCUACCUAUAAGACUGGGAUAACUUCGGGAAACCGUAGCUAAUACCGGAUGAUAUUUUGAACCGCAUGGUUCAAAAGUGAAAGACGGUCUUGCUGUCACUUAUAGAUGGAUCCGCGCUUCAUUAGCUAGUUGGUAAGGUAACGGCUUACCAAGGCAACGAUGCAUAGCCGACCUGAGAGGGUGGUCGGCCACACUGGAAGUGAGACUCGGUCCAGACUCCUGCGGGGGGCAGCAGUAGGGAAUCUUCCGCGAUGGGCGAGAGCCUGACAGAGCAACGCCGCGUGAGUGAUGAAGGUCUUCGGAUCGUAAAACUAUGUUAUUAGUGAAGAACAUAUGUGUAAGUAACUGUGCACAUCUUGACGGUACCUAAACAGAAAGCCACGGCUAACUACGUG